UGGGGAAUAUUGCGCAAUGGGCGAAAGCCUGACGCAGCGACGCCGCGUGAGGGAUGAAGGCCUUCGGGUCGUAAACCUCUGUCAGGAGGGAAGAAACGGCAGGUGAGUAACUGCGCCUGUUUUGACGGUACCUCCAAAGGAAGCACCGGCUAACUCCGUGCCAGCAGCCGCGGUAAUACGGAGGGUGCGAGCGUUAAUCGGAAUCACUGGGCGUAAAGCGCACGUAGGCUGUUAUGUAAGUCAGGGGUGAAAUCCCACCGCUUACCGGUGGAAUUGCCUUUGAUACUGUGUAACUUGAGUUCG
Molecule: ribosomal RNA, 303 nt
Filed under: uncultured bacterium
Lineage: Bacteria
Description: bacterial SSU rRNA
Rfam family: Bacterial small subunit ribosomal RNA
Source: RNAcentral